GAUUCCUUUGGGCCCCACACACGGAUUUUCAUUUUCAACACUUAGCGCCCGACGUGGGGCUCUGAGAUCACUGGCUCAGAAAACGGGAAAGGUCAGUCUGACUAACGCCUCGCCCGGCGUCCUCGGAUUAGCAUCCAAGAGCAACAGAUCCGAGAUGGGCCGCAGGCUCCCGGGAGACGGAGGAUUCCCACGUGUGAGAAAGCCCCGGGGGCAAGGCUCCCUGACAUCACCCACGUCCAGGAUCCAGGGCUUCACCUGACGGGGGUGAGAGCUGGAAUCCUACCGGAAGAACACCAGCGCCAGGCCUGUGGGUUCAGAGGGAAAGGGGAGAGGGGAGGGAGAGAAGCUGUUUUCUGCUAAUCAAAGGAGAAACCAAACCAAACGGAGGGAGUCCAAGAAAAAUACAACUCUAUUGUUCCGGGGCAGAAGAUGCUGGCUGGGAGGCCUCCUUGAGCAAUGCCGGUCACACCCUUUCUCUGUGGGACUGCAGGAAUGUUGGCUGUUCCCUGGGGGCCAGGUGGGAGGCGGGCAGACAGGUCUUUGGGGAUGAGGAGUGCUUGGAGCUGGAACUCUCUGAACAUCCCCAUGGCCUUGCAGCUGGGAGGCGGACACGGAGCAGCAGGAAUGUGGGUUGAAUGAGAGCCAGGAAGCAGCAGUCACGCUCCAACUCCCCACAUGCAAACUUCUCUUCCUCCACUACAAACAGCAAAGACUCCUUUGGAAAACCUUGAAUGCCGAGUGGCUCGCAGUCACCCACAACGCCCCGUCUUGGUGUCGCAGAAGCGGGCUCCCUCUGAGAGACAAUGUCACGAGGGCGCUUUCCCCGUUUUCCAAAGUGCUCGCCCUGCGGUGGGAGCUGUUUGUCCCAGGGUCUCUGGACUGAGGCCGAGGAACGUUAUUGCGGAUCUACCCCACAGCGACGGGCUGGAGUCAGAGCCUCUGGGCUCUCGCUCUCCCUCUCUGUCCGGAGCAGCUUGCUCUGUGACCUCAGAAAAGCUACGCCAUUUCUCUGGGCUUCGGGGCCAUGUCCUACUCAAAGGCGCUUCGUCAUCAAAAUUCAGCCCGUACUCAGUCUUUCUUUUCUCUUUCCCAAGAUCGGGGCGCUUCCCUUAGAGAUCCCCCAACAAGCUCUCCUUACGGAGGAGUCUGCUAGGAAGGAGUCCACAGGAGCUUAGAGUGAGGAAGGGCUGGAAGUGGCCAAGAGCUUUUUGGGCUGAAAGGUGACAGCCCUUUUGUCUUUAAGGAAUCCCAUGCCU
This is a long non-coding RNA of Pipistrellus kuhlii (Kuhl's pipistrelle), 1256 nucleotides long. RefSeq lists it as uncharacterized. NCBI's taxonomy places the organism in Eukaryota, Metazoa, Chordata, Mammalia, Chiroptera, Vespertilionidae. The record is from RefSeq and is a predicted model, not a curated record. The transcript is spliced from 3 exons.